GACGAACGCUGGCGGCGUGCUUAACACAUGCAAGUCGAACGGAAAGGCCCUGCUUUUGUGGGGUGCUCGAGUGGCGAACGGGUGUGUAACACGUGAGUAACCUGCCCUUGACUUUGGGAUAACUUCAGGAAACUGGGGCUAAUACCGGAUAGGAGCUCCUGCUGCCUGGUGGGGGUUGGAAAGUUUCGGCGGUUGGGGAUAGACUCGCGGCUUAUCAGCUUGUUGGUGGGGUAGUGGCUUACCAAGGCUUUGACGGGUAGCCGGCCUGAGAGGGUGACCGGCCACAUUGGGACUGAGAUACGGCCCAGACUCCUACGGGAGGCAGCAGUGGGGAAUAUUGCACAAUGGGCGGAAGCCUGAUGCAGCAACGCCGCGUGCGGGAUGACGGCCUUCGGGUUGUAAACCGCUUUCGCCUGUGACGAAGCGUGAGUGACGGUAAUGGGUAAAGAAGCACCGGCUAACUACGUG
This 468-nucleotide ribosomal RNA is filed under the name uncultured bacterium. Its description in RNAcentral is "partial 16S ribosomal RNA". It matches the Rfam family "Bacterial small subunit ribosomal RNA", at positions 28 to 507 of the family's 1533-position model. The record is from RNAcentral.